This 255-nucleotide long non-coding RNA is filed under the name Leguminivora glycinivorella. RNAcentral describes it as "uncharacterized LOC125231138". The record is from RNAcentral. Lineage: Eukaryota; Metazoa; Arthropoda; Insecta; Lepidoptera; Tortricidae.
GGCUAUGCCUCAAUUGAUAAAGUGAACUAAUUGCCUACUUCAAAAGCAGUUUUGCAUGAAAGUCAACAUCUAAUUGGAAUUUACAAUGCCCGAUAUUUCUACACAUCUGCCACAAAUUUUAUGGAAAACAAUAUUUAUAGAAACUGAACAUACCUUGGUUAAACGUAUAUGAAAUGGAUUAUCAUCAUUGAAGAACAUCAACCAGCUGUCGGCAAUGUGCAGGUGGACUGAGGAAUUUUCCGUGUGUCCUUUAUG